Long non-coding RNA from Bactrocera neohumeralis, 2062 nucleotides. RefSeq lists it as uncharacterized. The transcript has 2 exons. The record is from RefSeq and is a predicted model, not a curated record. Lineage: Eukaryota; Metazoa; Arthropoda; Insecta; Diptera; Tephritidae.
UACUGCCAUUGAAGUCGAUUCAUUAUAAGUAUGUAUAUGUCGUUAUUUAUAUGUACAUUAAUUUUAGAAUAUCGACCCCAAAAUUCAAGGUUAAAAAGGGAACGUACGGAGAGUUUAGUGUGUGGUUCUCCAAUUUAGAAUACGUUUAACGCUAGAUUUAUAACUUUUAUAUUCAAAAUAUUAAACAAAACUCCAAGUAAAGAUAUCAUAAUUGUUGAUAAACAAAUCUUUCAGUAUUUCACUUCUCAUAAGAACCUUCGGCGUUUGAUGGACCAGGGCUACUUUUUGAUGUGAAACAUCUAUAGGCGCUGGUAAACAUGAUUGUCGCCGUGGCGAUCGCCACGCUAUAUUACGUAGUGUCUAUACGUAGUCUAUAUGAAGCAUACAUAUACAUACAUAUAUGUAUAUUUUUCCGCGGCUGGCAAAAAUCUGUGUCGAUAUGUAUGCAAGCUCAUACAUAAACAUACAUAUUUACGCUGGCUUCUUUGAGAGGCUGCUACAGCCACGGUAGAGGAGGAGUAAGGUCACUAUCAGCUGAUGUUACGUAAACAAAGGCACAGCUGAGAGGUGCCACUGUAGAAACGUCAAGUGUAGUCCGGGGUUGAGUUUCUAUUGGAAUCCAAGAUGGCCGACUUUUAACCGGAAAAUGGUUGCAUUGUGUUAUUUUCUUAAAAUUUAUGGAAAAGUUGUCCCAAAAAUAUUGGUUAUAUAUAAAAGUUUAAUAUAUUUUCAAAAGAAAAUCGUUUUAUUUUAAUAUAUAUUCUUAAAGAUGAGAACAAUAUGAGCUAAUACAUGAAAAAUUAAGUUUUUUAUUUAUGCCUCUUUUUAACUGUGGUAAGUUAAUAAAUGUUCACCACAGAAAAAUGUUACGAACAAAUAAGCAACCAUGCCGAACAGUGGGGUCCAGAUUAUACUCAUUCACAGCCUUAUUUACAUUUUUGCCAUCGUAACGAAGGUUUUUGCAAGGCGAUUUGGUUGAGUUUAUUUCAUGGUUAAAUGCUUUACGAUGGUUUAUUUAGUUAUUUGAAUCUGGAAGAAGUGUGCAAAUUUCCCUUGAGACGAUAAAUAACAGAUCGGGUUGGGAUUUUAUUCCAAUAAAAGUACGGAAUAACUAAACAUGGCCUCGUUAAUACUGCUGCGUAAUGGGUCAGGCGCUGUUCCAAUUUUAUGAUUUAAGAGAUGUAAAAGCGAUACGCGAUGCUGUGAAGUACUCAAAUGUAUUUAUGAACUUAGUUGGUCGUGAAUUCGAGGCAAAAUUUUAAAUUCAAUGACGUGCUUGUGGAAGGUGCACGUCGCAUUGCUAGAAUCAGCAAAGAAGCUGGUGUAGAACGUGGAAGUAACUUUUAGAAAGGGUGGAAGUAACUUUUUGAAGAGCAAAUACUCCGGUGAGCACAUUCGGAUGUUGUACGAGCUAUUGUCGAUUGCACUUAGGAUCCCGAUACUUUCUAAUAUGCUAAACACCCACCUUGCAGACCAAAGCGUUACCAGUUGAGCGAAUUAAUUGACUGGUUUCAUCGUGUUAUGCGCAAUAAUGAAAAAUGGUGGGGAUACCGUCGUUAAGACAUGCGUUGCGAUUCUACCUUCUUAUUGAAAACCAAGUUCACUGAGCUUAUCUGUCCUGGACAACCUAUUGGUGAGCUACAUACGGAACGUAUCGAUCGCGAAUGUAUUACCGAUGUCGUUCCCUCCGACAUACCGUGGUUGAAGAAUUUUGGUGUACAAUUGGCCUCCAUGGAAGAGUAAGUACCAUGGGAAUUGUGGCCAUAUCGUGCUGCGCAAUAUUAUGAUGCCGAAUUGGGAGAGUGGGGGGAACCAGUUCCACCAAAACCGAUAGAACAUCGGGAAGAACUACGCUAAUAAUUAACAACACUCAUCAAAUGAAAGUUGGCAGCGUUGGUGACCAAGCAGCGAUUUGAAAAAGAAACAUUUGCAUCUACGCGAAUUACAAUUCGUCUUAAAAUCUAGUGAAUUAUGGUCGAUUAUGAAUGGUGUGGAAGUUGAUAUUUAAACUUAAAAAAACAAAUAAAUGUAAUUUGGCUAAUAAUGAAGUGCUAUUAAGGAA